Molecule: long non-coding RNA, 508 nt
Organism: Venturia canescens
Lineage: Eukaryota; Metazoa; Arthropoda; Insecta; Hymenoptera; Ichneumonidae
Exons: 2
Source: RefSeq, a predicted model, not a curated record
UCUGGUCGUACAGCGUGCUGACGUGCUCCGUGUUCUUUAUAUUUCUUUUCGGGGCAUGAUUGGUUUGCCGAGUUGAUCCGAACUUUGACCAGCAUAUACGCUGUAAACUGAAGCUAAACUAGCCCGAUUACAUCCUCGCCAGCCGCAACCGGGUAGCGUAUUGAGUACAUAUAGACGACGUUCGCAGGAAGAUGGACCUACGAUGGGUGGUUGGCCUGACCGAUAUAGAAGCAGAAGGAAGGAGAAAGAAUGAUGAAGAUGCGAACAAGUAAAAUGAUGAAGAGCGAAGGAGUAGUGAAAAUUAGUUCACGUUUGUCUCCUGUUCUAAAAUUGAUGUAUUAAUCGGUUCCUUUUGUUGAAUGUUUGAUAUAAAUAUAUCUAAUAUUACUGAAUAAACGUACAUGAAUUUAUAAAAGUAGUAAGUCAGAUAUGGAACCAUACCUGGGCAAAGGUUCAGUAUGUAGAGCCUACAUUAACACAACUUAAUAAUGUAUGUAUGAUAAAGUGA